AUGUGAUUUGCUUGUAACAUGGUAUACUUGUUUUGAAUUUUAUUAGACCAGGCACAUGGAUUUCCAACAAUUUCCUGUGAUUCUCUUAAGAUUUAAAUUGUUUUCUUCAAAGUGUAACAUCUAAAACCACUCAAUAUAUUGUGAUUUUUGUUUCUUUGAUUUUGUCAUCUUCUGCAAAACAUCAUCUAUUAAACUGUCAGUUUGAAUAUUUUUCAGAAACACUUCCCAUUUUAGACAGCAUCACAAUGAGACAUCAAAUUUUCAAGGUCACAGCUUCUGUCUAAAUUUUUCUAAUAUUUGAAACCUUUUUCAUGGUUACAAAAAUUUGAUUCUGUUGUAUUAUUGUGGGGAAACAUGCACAAAAAAUAAAGACACUUGUGAAUAAAUG
Molecule: long non-coding RNA, 388 nt
Filed under: Bos taurus (domestic cattle)
Lineage: Eukaryota; Metazoa; Chordata; Mammalia; Artiodactyla; Bovidae
Description: long non-coding RNA NONBTAT019117
Source: RNAcentral